UGCCUCACAAACAUUGUAACAAAGUAAUUUGGGGGGAGGGGGUUGUAAUUGACUCAAAUUUGUACAUUUUAUACCGGAUGAGUUGAGCUGAGCACCCGUACUUUCCGUCUAGGAGUAGCGGAGUGGGGGUACACGACAAUGGCGUUGCGAGUCGGAACUUCAGUAGCGAGGUGAGGUCUAUGAACAAGGAAGGUCUCCAGUCUGGAAUUACCCUGGCUAGUUCUCUACCUCUCACUAUAGCAUAGUCGCGUGGCAUCGCCAGAAUAAUCUGUACCUAGUCUGACUAGUCCAGACUGAGUAGUUCAUCUUCAAACUUGGUUGGGUCAUGCUGAGUGCAGUGCUGCCGAUUCUGCAGAGAACCUUGUUUGUGACAUGCAAUACAGUAACUUAGUUUAUUUUCAAUUCUCUAUGCUUUAAUUAGUUAAUAAACUGAAUGUGUUCAAUUUUAUAAUAGCAAAUUGUUAUCCAUAGCUGUUAUACUGUACUUUAUUAUCCCAACAAGGUUCAGGGCAAUUCCGUACCAUGAAAUUUUUAGAUACAUUUUAAUCUUAAACAUGUUGUACUAUUAGAAGAAGUUUGCAAAACAUACAAGUAUAUUUAGUAGAAGACCUACAAAUUAUUAUUGUGAAAAGGUUUCAGCACAAAACAUUUUUUUAAACAGAGGCAGGUACACUUUUUUCUUAAGUGUAUGCCAUUGCCACAAUCUCCCAUAAACAUAGUUUGUCUCAAAAACAUUUAUGGUUGUA
Homalodisca vitripennis (glassy-winged sharpshooter) is the source of this 746-nucleotide long non-coding RNA. RefSeq lists it as uncharacterized. Lineage: Eukaryota; Metazoa; Arthropoda; Insecta; Hemiptera; Cicadellidae. The transcript has 2 exons. The record is from RefSeq and is a predicted model, not a curated record.